UACGUAGGGUGCAAGCGUUGUCCGGAAUUAUUGGGCGUAAAGAGCUCGUAGGCGGUUUGUUGCGUCGGCUGUGAAAUCCCGAGGCUCAACCUCGGGUCUGCAGUCGAUACGAGCAAACUAGAGUGUUGCAGGGGAGACUGGAAUUCCUGGUGUAGCGGUGAAAUGCGCAGAUAUCAGGAGGAACACCGGUGGCGAAGGCGGGUCUCUGGGACGGUACUGACGCUGGGACGCGAAAGCGUGGGGAGCGAACAGG
RNAcentral lists this ribosomal RNA (253 nucleotides) under uncultured bacterium. RNAcentral describes it as "partial 16S ribosomal RNA". It matches the Rfam family "Bacterial small subunit ribosomal RNA", at positions 524 to 776 of the family's 1533-position model. The record is from RNAcentral.